UCGAACGGCAGCGCGGGAGCAAUCCUGGCGGCGAGUGGCGAACGGGUGAGUAAUACAUCGGAACGUGCCCAAUCGUGGGGGAUAACGCAGCGAAAGCUGUGCUAAUACCGCAUACGAUCUACGGAUGAAAGCAGGGGAUCGCAAGACCUUGCGCGAAUGGAGCGGCCGAUGGCAGAUUAGGUAGUUGGUGAGGUAAAGGCUCACCAAGCCUUCGAUCUGUAGCUGGUCUGAGAGGACGACCAGCCACACUGGGACUGAGACACGGCCCAGACUCCUACGGGAGGCAGCAGUGGGGAAUUUUGGACAAUGGGCGAAAGCCUGAUCCAGCCAUGCCGCGUGCAGGAUGAAGGCCUUCGGGUUGUAAACUGCUUUUGUACGGAACGAAACGGCCUUUUCUAAUAAAGAGGGCUAAUGACGGUACCGUAAGAAUAAGCACCGGCUAACUACGUGCCAGCAGCCGCGGUAAUACGUAGGGUGCAAGCGUUAAUCGGAAUUACUGGGCGUAAAGCGUGCGCAGGCGGUAAUGUAAGACAGUUGUGAAAUCCCCGGGCUCAACCUGGGAACUGCAUCUGUGACUGCAUUGCUGGAGUACGGCAGAAGGGGGAUGGAAUUCCGCGUGUAGCAUGAAAUGCGUAGAUAUGCGGAGGAACACCGAUGGCGAAGGCAAUCCCCUGGGCCUGUACUGACGCUCAUGCACG
RNAcentral lists this ribosomal RNA (698 nucleotides) under Variovorax paradoxus. RNAcentral describes it as "bacterial SSU rRNA". It matches the Rfam family "Bacterial small subunit ribosomal RNA", at positions 62 to 755 of the family's 1533-position model. Lineage: Bacteria; Pseudomonadati; Pseudomonadota; Betaproteobacteria; Burkholderiales; Comamonadaceae. The record is from RNAcentral.